Long non-coding RNA from Scophthalmus maximus (turbot), 2766 nucleotides. RefSeq lists it as uncharacterized. The record is from RefSeq and is a predicted model, not a curated record. The transcript is spliced from 7 exons. NCBI's taxonomy places the organism in Eukaryota, Metazoa, Chordata, Actinopteri, Pleuronectiformes, Scophthalmidae.
UUCCCUGUUUGAUGUAGAUGAGCUCCACCUGUCCAGAAACAGUCAGCACCUCCUCUUCCAGGAACCUCUUCUCCCCUGUUCUCUCAAACUCACACCUUUAUGAUCACACUGACAUGGUCAUUUAACACAGAGUUAUAAUUACAACAGCCUUGAAGCAACAAGCCUUUCGAUUUCACAUCUCCUUUCACACUGCCACACUGUUAGGAUCACAAACUGUAUAUUAAGAUGGUCGUAGUCACCGGGUCCGGAAAAUUAAGUCAAUGAGGAAAUGCCUCAAACCUUUAUACGCUGGAAUCACCAGCAGAGGGCGACUCCACUGGUUGGAAAGAAAGAAGUCAGUUUCUAUAGAGGUCUAUGAAAAUCGACUCAACUUCUCACCUGAUUUAUAACGUCAGUAAACAUUUUCCUGAGGAGUUUAUGGUACCAAUCUCUAGUUUCAUGUCUUUUCCAAAGUCAUUUCAUUUUGUAAAUUGUGAUCCCUUUUAGAGGAAAACAGAUGAUAAAUAGAUGAUAUGCAUUGGAGAGUGGAUGCAGUGUGAAUAACAGCUAGUAUCGUCCAAUCAGAACAAAUGGGUGACUUCGCGGUGGGUUGUCACUUGGAUGGACGUCAUGACAACUCCCAAAAGUGAGGCCAAAACAUCUGGAUCAUCCUCUGGGACCAAACUAAAAGGGUUGAGACGUCAUGAUUGACAGCUGACCCGCGACCUCGAUACCGUGGCUCCUCUUCACGGUCACCACUGCGCAGACUCUGGCUCCAAAUGACGUCACUAGCGCAAGAUGGCAGCACCUUCAUCUGGGAUAUUUAGGCUUAGGCAAGCUCUUUGUAAGACUUUGUAAAUACAACGAAUAUCUGUCAGGGUAAAACUAAAAGAUUCAACUACAAUAUUUGCCAUAGUGGCCCUUGAGGUUGUAUAACUGCUGCAGUGUGUGUCGGUCGCCCAGUGUUUCUCUGCAGGCAGACGUGACAUUUGACACUGUGACCCAAAUACCCCUUAUGCUUUUAGGGCUCCCUUAAGGUGACGCCUGUUGUACUCGGAGGACUGAUGAGACGUCAGCUGCAGAAGAGAGUCUCAGUCGUGUAUUUGACGCCUAGAGCCGUCCUACUGUUCCGUGACCAUCUGUUUCUCGUCAUGCUGCAGUUGUCCCGGAGCCCGCUGAUGGCAAGAGAUUUUCUGUCAUUCUGGCAUGUGCCACUGGAUCUUUGUGGAGGGUCUUGUUCAACUGUGCAGUAUGUGUGUGUGUGUGUGACAGGCAGAGGGUGAGUGAAAGAGGGAAUUAGUCCCUAUAAAAAGAUGCCUAAAUGUUUCAGAGUAUAAUCAAAUCACUUGGCCAAAAUACACAUACAUUAAGUGCUAAUUGCAACACUAGCAAGAGGUCACACGAGGAAUAGCCACGGAGCUCUCAUCUAACAACUCGCCAUCUAUUUUUUCCUCUCUGACAUUAUUUCUCAUUAAAGAAGUAACUUGUAAAAACAGACAGCGCAUAGACCCCCGCUGAGGUCAGGACCUGAACUUUGUUUACACAUGUUACGAGCGGCCGAUCGCCCACCGGCACAAAACGCUCGUAUCAGCAGUACAGUAUGUAAUCCAAGCUGCACAACUAAAGCUAGGUGUGGUGCAUAUAUACACUAACCCUUUAUACCCCGGCACUUGCUUAUGAGCUGUGUCAUAUUUAUAUCCUCGGAACCAUUUGACACCGCUGCUGACGCAAGAUGGACCGAGAUCUGUGAUCUCUGACCGUUGCCGUCAAGCAAGACGAGCUGAAGCUUACAGUAGGUGACAGAAGCAGAACAAAGUCAGCAAGCAGAUUUCUGUUGUGCGCCUCGAAGGACAAGUUUUGUGAAAUAAUAGCCUGAAAUACAUGUGCGGACGUAAUAAAAGAAGAAAAAAAAGGGUGUGAUUCAGUUUAAGCAAACAGUCUGGGUGUGUGUCUGUGACUAGGCAGGAAAGAUGGAGGUUUGAAAGGAGGGGGAGGGGGGAUAAUCAGCUGUUGCAUUCCCCAGUGAUUGUGAUACAGCAGGAGCGUGUGUGUGUGUGUGUGUGUGUGUCCAUAUUUAGUCAGGGCUCCUCUGUGACCACAGGGCCCCCGUGUGUGCGUCAUUUACACCCCGUCCUGCCACACAGGUCCUCCUCCAGACGCCCGGCUGCCUGCCCCACGCAACAGAACAAUGUCCACAGAGCGUCUGAAUGCCAGCGAACGCUAUCCAGCUAGCUGUACUCCAAGAGGCCAGGUCUGGCGUCCCAUGCCGUGCACAGGUUGUACUUUGCCAGAGGAUCGUAGAGCGAGGAAAACCACUGCCAGGAACAGAUGUGUCACGUCCCCACAGCUUAUAUAAUAAUUCCUCUUUUUCCUCGUGUGCUGGAAAAUUAGAACUCAAAUUCAUCCCUCUGCUAAGCUGGAAGCAAAAGAUUCUUGAACCUGCGGCAAAAAGUGUCAUCGCACCAUGACGACACCAACAAAGAAGACCGGCGAAGCGACCUCCACCAGACUGGGCUGAUGAGUCAGCUGUUAAAAAAAGUACCACCAGGAGUUUCCAGAGGGUAUUUCAGGAUGAGAACAUGCUCAGGAUUCUUUGUAACCACUCAGUUGGUGUGAAGGAAUCUGCUCUACUAACAACAAAUUCUCGAUGUGCCUUCUUGGUUUUCAUUCGGAGGUGGAGCUGAUUUCAGCACCGGAGCUGUCCGGACCUGACGCCGCUGCUGCUGCCGCGUUGAGGCGGUGAUGCUGAGCUCGAGCGCCUGAACCCCCCCCCCCCCCCCCCCCCUC